Molecule: ribosomal RNA, 253 nt
Filed under: uncultured bacterium
Lineage: Bacteria
Description: partial 16S ribosomal RNA
Rfam family: Bacterial small subunit ribosomal RNA
Source: RNAcentral
UACGUAGGGACCAAGCGUUGUUCGGAUUUACUGGGCGUAAAGGGCGCGUAGGCGGCGUGUUAAGUCAGCUGUGAAAUCUCCGAGCUUAACACGGAACGGUCAGCUGAUACUGAUGUGCUAGAGUGCAGAAGGGGCAAUCGGAAUUCUUGGUGUAGCGGUGAAAUGCGUAGAUAUGACAUAGAACACCAAUUGCGAAGGCAGCUCACUACACGAAUAUUGACACUGAGGCACGAAAGCGUGGGGAUCAAACAGG